This 292-nucleotide ribosomal RNA is filed under the name Sodalis endosymbiont of Rhizoecus sp. 2. RNAcentral describes it as "partial 16S ribosomal RNA". It matches the Rfam family "Bacterial small subunit ribosomal RNA", at positions 505 to 796 of the family's 1533-position model. The record is from RNAcentral. Lineage: Bacteria; Pseudomonadati; Pseudomonadota; Gammaproteobacteria; Enterobacterales; Bruguierivoracaceae.
GUGCCAGCCGCCGCGGUAAUACGGAGGGUGCAAGCGUUAAUCGGAAUUACUGGGCGUAAAGCGUAUGCAGGCGGUCUGUCAAGUCAGAUGUGAAAUCCCCAAGCUUAACUUGGGAACUGCAUUUGAAACUGGCAGGCUAGAGUCUCGUAGAGGGGGGUAGAAUUCCAGGUGUAGCGGUGAAAUGCGUAGCGAUCUGGAGGAAUACCGGUGGCGAAGGCAGCCCCCUGGACGAAGACUGACGCUCGGGUACGAAAGCGUGGGGAGCAAACAGGAUUAGAAACCCGGGUAGUCC